Molecule: unclassified non-coding RNA, 348 nt
Organism: Callithrix jacchus (white-tufted-ear marmoset)
Lineage: Eukaryota; Metazoa; Chordata; Mammalia; Primates; Cebidae
Rfam family: Metazoan signal recognition particle RNA
About the family: The signal recognition particle (SRP) is a universally conserved ribonucleoprotein. It is involved in the co-translational targeting of proteins to membranes.
Source: Ensembl
GCCGGGUGCGAUGGCUCAUGCCUGUAGUCCCAGCUACUCUGGAGGCUGAGGCUGGAGGAUCGCUUGAGUCUAGGAGGUCUUGGCCUGUAGUAUGCUAUGCCGAUUGGGAUCGGCUGUCCCGCUAAGUUCGGCAUCAAUAUGGUGACCUCCUGGAUGCGGGGGACCACCAUGUUGCCUAAGGAGAGGUGACUCGGCCCAGGUCGGAAACGGAGCAAGUCAAAACUCCCGUGCUGGUCAGGCACGGUGGCUCACACCUGUAAUCCCAGCACUUUGGGAGGCCGAGGCGGGUGGAUCACAAGGUCAAGAGAUCGAGACCAUCCUGGUCAACAUGGGGAAACCCCGUCUCUA